UACGGAGGGUGCAAGCGUUAAUCGGAACUACUGGGCGUAAAGCGUGCGUAGGUGGUUCGUUAAGUCCGUUGUGAAAGCCCCGAGCUCAACUUGGGAAUUGCAGUGGAUACUGGCGAGCUGGAGUGCGGUAGAGGAAGGUGGAAUUCCCGGUGUAGCGGUGAAAUGCGUAGAGAUCGGGAGGAACACCAGUGGCGAAGGCGGCCUUCUGGACCAGCACUGACACUCAAGCACGAAAGCGUGGGGAGCAAACAGG
This 253-nucleotide ribosomal RNA is filed under the name uncultured bacterium. RNAcentral describes it as "partial 16S ribosomal RNA". It matches the Rfam family "Bacterial small subunit ribosomal RNA", at positions 524 to 776 of the family's 1533-position model. The record is from RNAcentral.